This 442-nucleotide ribosomal RNA is filed under the name uncultured cyanobacterium. Its description in RNAcentral is "bacterial SSU rRNA". It matches the Rfam family "Bacterial small subunit ribosomal RNA", at positions 29 to 517 of the family's 1533-position model. The record is from RNAcentral. Lineage: Bacteria; Bacillati; Cyanobacteriota.
AACGAACGCUGGCGGCACGCCUAACACAUGCAAGUCGAACGGACCCUUCGGGGUUAGUGGCGGACGGGUGAGUAACGCGUGAGAAUCUGCCUUCAGGUCUGGGACAACAGAAGGAAACUUCUGCUAAUCCGGGAUGAGCCUUUUGGUAAAAGAUAAAUUGCCUGGAGAUGAGCUCGCGUCCGAUUAGCUAGUUGGUGUGGUAAAAGCAUACCAAGGCAACGAUCAGUAGCUGGUCUGAGAGGAUGAGCAGCCACACUGGGACUGAGACACGGCCCAGACUCCUACGGGAGGCAGCAGUGGGGAAUUUUCCGCAAUGGGCGAAAGCCUGACGGAGCAAGACCGCGUGGGGGAGGAGGCUCUAGGGUUGUAAACCCCUUUUCUUUGGGAAGAAGAAAGUGACGGUACCAAGGAUCAGCCUCGGCUAACUCCGUGCCAGCCGCCG